GCUGAAAUGCUGGAAUCUGAGGUACUGGUUCUUUUGGUUUUUCUGGUGGAGGUUGAGGUUUCUCUGGUUCUUUUGGUUUCUCUUUUGGCUUUUCGGGUUCCUUGGGCUUCUCUGGUUCUUUUGGUUUCUCUUUCGGCUUCUCCGGUUCCUUGGGUUUCUCCUUUGGCUUCUCUGGCUCCUUAGGUUUCUCCUUUGGCUUCUCCGGUUCUUUGGGUUUCUCCUUUGGCUUCUCUGGUUCUUUGGGUUUUUCAGGUUCUUUGGGUGGAGGUGGUGGUUUUGGAACUACAAUUUCAAUACCCUUAACUGAUUCACCACCCUUACAGCAAAUCUUUUUCUUGACCUUUUCCGGACUGCAACAUACUACAG
RNAcentral lists this long non-coding RNA (366 nucleotides) under Jatropha curcas. RNAcentral's name for it is "long non-coding RNA (JCUR_LNC001950)". Lineage: Eukaryota; Viridiplantae; Streptophyta; Magnoliopsida; Malpighiales; Euphorbiaceae. The record is from RNAcentral.